UACGGAGGUUCCUAGCGUUGUUCGGAAUUACUGGGCGUAAAGGGAGCGCAGGCGGAUUGAUAAGUCUAAAGUGGAAUCCCGGGGCUCAACCUCGGACGUGCUUUGGAUACUGUCAGUCUUGAGUUCGUGAGAGGAAAGCGGAAUUCAGGGUGUAGCGGUGAAAUGCUUAGAUAUCCUGAGGAACACCAGUGGCGAAAGCGGCUUUCUGGCACGAAACUGACGCUGAGGCUCGAAAGCGUGGGUAGCGAACGGG
This 253-nucleotide ribosomal RNA is filed under the name uncultured bacterium. Its description in RNAcentral is "partial 16S ribosomal RNA". It matches the Rfam family "Bacterial small subunit ribosomal RNA", at positions 524 to 776 of the family's 1533-position model. The record is from RNAcentral.